Molecule: ribosomal RNA, 497 nt
Filed under: uncultured bacterium
Lineage: Bacteria
Description: partial 16S ribosomal RNA
Rfam family: Bacterial small subunit ribosomal RNA
Source: RNAcentral
GAUGAACGCUGGCGGCGUGCCUAAUACAUGCAAGUCGAGCGAACGGACGAGAAGCUUGCUUCUCUGAUGUUAGCGGCGGACGGGUGAGUAACACGUGGAUAACCUACCUAUAAGACUGGGAUAACUUCGGGAAACCGGAGCUAAUACCGGAUAAUAUUUUGAACCGCAUGGUUCAAAAGUGAAAGACGGUCUUGCUGUCACUUAUAGAUGUAUCCGCGCUGCAUUAGCUAGUUGGUAAGGUAACGGCUUACCAAGGCAACGAUGCAUAGCCGACCUGAGAGGGUGAUCGGCCACACUGGAACUGAGACACGGUCCAGACUCCUACGGGAUGCAGCAGUAGGGAAUCUUCCGCAAUGGGAGAAAGCCUGACGGAGCAAAGCAGCGUGAGUGAUGAAGGUCUUCGGAUCGUAAAGCUCUGUUAUUAGGGAAGAACAUAUGUGUAAGUAACUGUGCACAUCUUGACGGUACCUAAUCAGAAAGCCACGGCUAACUACGUG